RNAcentral lists this transfer RNA (86 nucleotides) under Thalassospira lucentensis. RNAcentral's name for it is "tRNA-Leu". It matches the Rfam family "tRNA". Rfam says of the family: Transfer RNA (tRNA) molecules are approximately 80 nucleotides in length. Their secondary structure includes four short double-helical elements and three loops (D, anti-codon, and T loops). Lineage: Bacteria; Pseudomonadati; Pseudomonadota; Alphaproteobacteria; Rhodospirillales; Thalassospiraceae. The record is from RNAcentral.
GCCCCUGUGGCGGAAUUGGUAGACGCGGCAGACUCAAAAUCUGUUUCACUUGGUGAGUGGGAGUUCGAUUCUCCCCGGGGGCACCA